UAAACCACAGAAAUUUGCUUCUCAUGGUUGUGGAGGCUGGAAGCCCAAGAUUGGGGUGCUAACAUGGAAUCUAGGUUGACGUACAUUCUACUAUCACUGAGCUGAGUCACCUAGAACCCAGGACCUCUGGGACAACUCAACUAAGGAAGAGAAGUCACGGCGGAGGACACGGGCUCCUGAAUGCUUCAGCUCACUAGUGGUAUAACCUCAUUUUUUCUCUCAGCACCUCUGCCAGAGCUAGUCACGUGGUCUCCAUCUAACCGGCAAAGGAGCCUGGGAAACAUUUGAUUAUCAUCAGUGAACAAUAAAUAUCUAAGUAUCUCUGC
Long non-coding RNA from Hyaena hyaena (striped hyena), 326 nucleotides. RefSeq lists it as uncharacterized. The transcript has 2 exons. The record is from RefSeq and is a predicted model, not a curated record. NCBI's taxonomy places the organism in Eukaryota, Metazoa, Chordata, Mammalia, Carnivora, Hyaenidae.